Molecule: ribosomal RNA, 258 nt
Filed under: uncultured bacterium
Lineage: Bacteria
Description: partial 16S ribosomal RNA
Rfam family: Bacterial small subunit ribosomal RNA
Source: RNAcentral
GACAGAGGGGGCAAGCGUUGCUCGGAAUCACUGGGCGUAAAGGGCGCGUAGGCGGGAUGGCAAGUCAGUCGUGAAAUCUCUCGGCUCAACCGAGAAACGUCGGCUGAUACUGCCGUUCUUGAGGGAUGCAGAGGAGACUGGAAUUCCCGGUGUAGCGGUGAAAUGUGUAGAGAUCGGGAGGAACACCGGUGGCGAAGGCGGGUCUGCUGGGCAUUUGCCUUGACGGCUGAGGCGCGAAAGCGUGGGGAGCAAAACGGG